UGGGGAAUUUUUGACAAUGGGCGAAAGCCUGAUCCAGCAAUGCCGCGUGUGUGAAGAAGGCCUUCGGGUUGUAAAGCACUUUUGUCCGGAAAGAAAUGGCUCUGGUUAAUACCUGGGGUCGAUGACGGUACCGGAAGAAUAAGGACCGGCUAACUACGUGCCAGCAGCCGCGGUAAUACGUAGGGUCCAAGCGUUAAUCGGAAUUACUGGGCGUAAAGCGUGCGCAGGCGGUUGUGCAAGACCGAUGUGAAAUCCCCGAGCUUAACUUGGGAAUUGCAUUGGUGACUGCACGGCUAGAGUGUGUCAGAGGGGGGUAGAAUUCCACGUGUAGCAGUGAAAUGCGUAGAGAUGUGGAGGAAUACCGAUGGCGAAGGCAGCCCCCUGGGAUAACACUGACGCGCAUGCACGAAAGCGUGGGGAGCAAACAGG
Molecule: ribosomal RNA, 429 nt
Filed under: Bacillota bacterium
Lineage: Bacteria; Bacillati; Bacillota
Description: Firmicutes bacterium partial 16S ribosomal RNA
Rfam family: Bacterial small subunit ribosomal RNA
Source: RNAcentral